Molecule: long non-coding RNA, 1071 nt
Filed under: Nothobranchius furzeri (turquoise killifish)
Lineage: Eukaryota; Metazoa; Chordata; Actinopteri; Cyprinodontiformes; Nothobranchiidae
Description: lncRNA (ENSNFUG00015024688.1)
Source: RNAcentral
AUGACUAAAGAAAUAAAAGAUGGAGGUUUAAAGGUCAUUAACUUUGAAUAUCUUAAUGGCACCCUAAAGAUUAAAUGGUUAAAAUUUUGGUUAAAUCACCCAAACGACUUUUGGCAUAGUAUCCCCAAUUACAUCUUUAACAAAAUUGGUGGCUUAAAAAUUCUUCUCCUAACUGACUACAAUAUAAACAAACUCCCCAUUAAACUUUCAGAGUUCCAUAAACAAAUUUUAUUGUAUUGGAAAAUGAUAUAUGUACAUAACUACUCACCACACUCUAUAAUCAUUUGGAACAAUCAAUUUAUAUUGCACCGAAACAAAUCAUUAUUCUAUAAAGAUUGGUUAGAUAACAAUAUAUGGUCUAUUAUACACUUAAUGGAUGUAGAUGGUCAGCUCUUGAAUUAUGACAAUUUCUGCAGAAGAUACAAUUUUAAGGCUUCUGAGCUUGACUUUAACAGGUUACAUAAUGCACUUCCAAAACAGUUUAUCAUCCAAGCCCAAGAAUAUCUAAAACAUCAAUGUUCUAUUCCAAUCCUUCCUAUCUUAUCUAUUAAAGGUCUUCUGUUAACUGACAGAAAAUGCAACAAUCUUACAAUAAGAUCAGCCUUAAAUGAUUCUCUAUUUCCUGGAAAAACAAACAAAAAUAACGUAAUUUACAAAUUUGAUAAAACGUCUGUUGAGAAAAUAAGAACUAUCUACCUAAAAUUACCUAUACCACCGAAAGCUAAAGAAACCCACUUUAAAAUAAUGAAUGCAAUGUAUCCUUCAAAAGAAUUAUUGAGAGCUCAUUUUAAUAUUGAUAGCAACAACUGCUCUUUUUGCGAAAAUCACAUAGAAACUAUAGAUCAUAUAUUUUACGAAUGUCUGAAAACACAAUUGUUCUGGAAAAAGCUAGAGGUGUGGAUCAAAACUAAAAUACCCCUCCCAGUUCACAUCACUAAAGAUAUGAUGAUAUUUGGAGUUAUAUUCAAUGAUAAAGAUAAAGAACUCUGCUAUGAUAUCAUCCUCUGUUUAGCCAAAUUUUUUAUCCAUAAACAACAACUUUUACAAUCAUCCCGUCUUCAAUGUUUUUAA